Molecule: ribosomal RNA, 427 nt
Filed under: uncultured prokaryote
Description: bacterial SSU rRNA
Rfam family: Bacterial small subunit ribosomal RNA
Source: RNAcentral
UGGGGAAUUUUGGACAAUGGGCGCAAGCCUGAUCCAGCCAUUCCGCGUGAGUGAAGAAGGCCUUCGGGUUGUAAAGCUCUUUCGCAAGGGAAGAAAACUUAUCCUCUAACAUAGGAUGAGGUUGACGGUACCUUGAUAAGAAGCACCGGCUAACUACGUGCCAGCAGCCGCGGUAAUACGUAGGGUGCGAGCGUUAAUCGGAAUUACUGGGCGUAAAGCGUGCGCAGGCUGUUUUGUAAGUCAGAUGUGAAAUCCCUGGGCUCAACCUAGGAACUGCGUUUGAAACUACAAGACUAGAAUAUGUCAGAGGGGGGUAGAAUUCCACGUGUAGCAGUGAAAUGCGUAGAGAUGUGGAGGAAUAUCAAUGGCGAAGGCAGCCCCCUGGGAUAAUAUUGACGCUCAUGCACGAAAGCGUGGGGAGCAAACA